Molecule: long non-coding RNA, 596 nt
Organism: Magnolia sinica
Lineage: Eukaryota; Viridiplantae; Streptophyta; Magnoliopsida; Magnoliales; Magnoliaceae
Exons: 3
Source: RefSeq, a predicted model, not a curated record
UGCUUGUAGGAUUACCUAGAACUGGCAAUUUCUCACUUUCAUGUUACUUGGUACAUUGCUUCACUUUCUUUGAAAUUGCAUAUCUUUUGCAAGAAUUGUUUAAAGAGUUGUCACAUGUCAAUUUUUGUUUCUAUUAGAUUUGGAUGCUACCCUGUUUCUUUUAAUUUUUGUUCUUUCUUAUGGUAGAAUAUGGGCUUCAGUAUGCUAUGUUACAUGAGUGCUUCAACUGGACCUGGUACUUGCAUCAAGGAAGUGAUUUGGCAAGGUGAGAUUGCUGGAGUAAAUGCGGCUUUGGAUACAUUCAAGGCUGAAAAGGCAUUUCUUAUGCGCAGAAUUCGUGAGAUCCUUCCAAAAAUGAUUGAUGAGACAAUCUGCAUGUAAAUGGAAGACAUUUUCCCACCCUUUGUCCCUAUCAAUGGCUGGCUUCUACUAUUGUACAGCCGCCCACAUGAAGUGGCCGACACAUUGUUGCGGAUGAGGAUGUACAUGUGGGACAAUAAUAGCACAUCAUGUUGAGAAUUAUUACAGCUGUCAUACAGUGUUUGCCCACUUUCGGAUGGCGCGUGUUACAGAUACAUUGUCAUAAAAAACAUGUU